Paramuricea clavata is the source of this 359-nucleotide non-coding RNA. NCBI's taxonomy places the organism in Eukaryota, Metazoa, Cnidaria, Anthozoa, Malacalcyonacea, Plexauridae. The record is from the annotation of a GenBank genome assembly.
UUAGGGACCGGUCAUAAACUAACUGCUAGGGUGGGCCGGAGGGAAAAUAGGUUUUCAAAAAAAACAACCGGUGGCCCAUCCUGAGAACCUAGAAAAAAUUUCAAAGCCCAUUGUAGCUCAUUGGAAAAAUUUCACGACCCGGUACAGUAUAGCGGUCAAUGUACACUUGAUUUUUUUGAUAAAAAAUCAUUGGAAAUAUCAUCCCCUCAGUCCGACUCCAUGUCAUCAGAAUCUGAUUCUGAGGAAGGGUGAUGUGGAUAUUUAAAAAUCAAUGCCUGUAAAUGUGACUUACAAAUAUUAAUGCCAUUACUGAACUAUUAACAAUAACAAAAUUAUAUUUUUAUUUAAUUUUGAAUUCA